UGGCGGACGGGUGAGUAACGCGUGGGUAACCUGCCUCAUACAGGGGGAUAACAGUUAGAAAUGACUGCUAAUACCGCAUAAGACCACAGCACCGCAUGGUGCGGGGGUAAAAACUCCGGUGGUAUGAGAUGGACCCGCGUCUGAUUAGGUAGUUGGUGGGGUAACGGCCUACCAAGCCGACGAUCAGUAGCCGACCUGAGAGGGUGACCGGCCACAUUGGGACUGAGACACGGCCCAA
Molecule: ribosomal RNA, 238 nt
Filed under: uncultured bacterium
Lineage: Bacteria
Description: partial 16S ribosomal RNA
Rfam family: Bacterial small subunit ribosomal RNA
Source: RNAcentral